Musa acuminata AAA Group (dessert banana) is the source of this 712-nucleotide long non-coding RNA. RefSeq lists it as uncharacterized. The transcript has 2 exons. NCBI's taxonomy places the organism in Eukaryota, Viridiplantae, Streptophyta, Magnoliopsida, Zingiberales, Musaceae. The record is from RefSeq and is a predicted model, not a curated record.
GCCGAGCGAUCGUAGCAGGUCAUGCAUCAUGGAAGACUCAUCGUAGUCCAGACCGUAAGACUCCGAUUGUAGAAGGCUCCUAUGAAGCAGCUCUCUAUGUAUUGCUCCCCUGUUUCCUCCAAGCUGGCAUCUCCUCGUGCUUCGACAAACCCCUCGGCUAUCCAUAAUCUGACGACGUCAGACCUGCGAAACACAUCGGCUUCUUUGAACAAGGCACAGUAGAGAAAGCAUUACUUGAGAUGGGACGCCAAGUCUUGGUAGCUCAGGAGGGACCAGCCAUCCUCCGGAGGCAACAGCUUCAUCUCGUGGACGUGGGCCGUCGCGAUCCCUUCGUUUCUGGUGGUCACCAGCACCCUGCUCCUCGCAAAGGAUUGCGGUGCAAGUCGUCCCAGAUCUCAGCCCUCCACACAUCAUCCAACACCAGCAAGAACUUGUUCCCUUUCAGGAGACCCUCCACCAUGGGCUCGAGCAAAGUCCGGCUCUGUGCUCCACCGUGACUUCCCCCGGCGCUAGUGACGAUAUCCCUGAGAAGAUCCGUCUCCGUGAACUCUUGGGACACGAACACCAUAUGAAGGUGAAUGUGAAGGACACAGAUAUGUUAGAAAUUGUACCUUCAUGGAGGAUUCAUUAAGCAAUACUGUUUUGUAUUCUUACGACUUUAAGAUAAAAGAAAAGAAAAAGAAAAAAAAAAAGGACUGGAUCGGCUUUGUGU